AUUGAACGCUGGCGGCAGGCCUAACACAUGCAAGUCGAGCGGAUGAAGAGAGCUUGCUCUCUGAUUCAGCGGCGGACGGGUGAGUAAUGCCUAGGAAUCUGCCUGGUAGUGGGGGACAACGUUUCGAAAGGAACGCUAAUACCGCAUACGUCCUACGGGAGAAAGCAGGGGACCUUCGGGCCUUGCGCUAUCAGAUGAGCCUAGGUCGGAUUAGCUAGUUGGUGAGGUAAUGGCUCACCAAGGCGACGAUCCGUAACUGGUCUGAGAGGAUGAUCAGUCACACUGGAACUGAGACACGGUCCAGACUCCUACGGGAGGCAGCAGUGGGGAGUUUUGGACAAUGGACGCAAGCCUGGUCCAGCAAUGCGCUGCAGGAUGAAGGCCUUCGGUUGUAACGUAGCUUUGUACGGUAACGAAACGGUAGAGCUCUAAUAC
This 435-nucleotide ribosomal RNA is filed under the name uncultured bacterium. RNAcentral describes it as "bacterial SSU rRNA". It matches the Rfam family "Bacterial small subunit ribosomal RNA", at positions 30 to 467 of the family's 1533-position model. The record is from RNAcentral.